Molecule: long non-coding RNA, 476 nt
Filed under: Brassica napus (rape)
Lineage: Eukaryota; Viridiplantae; Streptophyta; Magnoliopsida; Brassicales; Brassicaceae
Description: long non-coding RNA (BNAP_LNC006575)
Source: RNAcentral
UUAAAAAUAAUAUAAGUUUUAAUCAGUUAAAAGUCGUGAAAUCACGUUGUGAAACCUUGCAUAAUUAGUCUAUAAUUAUCAAAUAUCUCAUUUUUUUUACUGAUUUUAUCAUUGUGCAUGUUAUAUGAAAUAAGUGAUAGUGAAGGGUAAAACCAAAAGGAUAAGACAUAGUGAAAAUCACUAGCUAGUCCCGAAGAUCUGGUUGAAAAAAUACACCACAACCAGUCAUGGGAAAAACUUCAUUGAGUACAAGGAAUUUACGAUUGUUUCAUGUAAGAUACAGUCAUAUCACACCACUCCACAUCGAUUACCAUAAUUGUACAACUUUACAAUCUAUAUUACAACCCAAUCAAUUGUGUAGUUUGUUUGUACUGUAUUAUUAUACUACUAUUUGUUUUAUAACCGUGGUAAUUUUUAGAAAACCUUAUCUUAGAUUUAAAGCUAAGAAUACUAUCUAUAGUAAUGAGGAAGAAUUA